Molecule: ribosomal RNA, 477 nt
Filed under: uncultured bacterium
Lineage: Bacteria
Description: bacterial SSU rRNA
Rfam family: Bacterial small subunit ribosomal RNA
Source: RNAcentral
UCAGGACGAACGCUGGCGGCGUGCUUAACACGUGCAAGUCGAGCGAUGAAGCUCUUCGGAAGUGGAUUAGCGGCGGACGGGUGAGUAACGCGUGGGUAACCUGCCUCAUAGAGGGGAAUAGCCUUCCGAAAGGAAGAUUAAUACCGCAUAAGAUUGUAAUAUCGCAUGAUAUAGCAAUUAAAGGAGUAAUCCGCUAUGAGAUGGACCCGCGUCGCAUUAGCUAGUUGGUGAGGUAACGGCUCACCAAGGCGACGAUGCGUAGCCGACCUGAGAGGGUGAUCGGCCACAUUGGGACUGAGACACGGCCCAGACUCCUACGGGAGGCAGCAGUGGGGAAUAUUGCACAAUGGGGGAAACCCUGAUGCAGCCAACGCCGCGUGAGUGAUGACGGUCUUCGGAUUGUAAAGCUCUGUCUUCAGGGAUGAUAAUGACGGUACCUGAGGAGGAAGCCACGGCUAACUACGUGCCAGCCGCCGC